Molecule: long non-coding RNA, 458 nt
Organism: Pistacia vera
Lineage: Eukaryota; Viridiplantae; Streptophyta; Magnoliopsida; Sapindales; Anacardiaceae
Exons: 6
Source: RefSeq, a predicted model, not a curated record
CUAUUAUCUGGCGGUUAAGAGUCACUGGUAGGUUACUGUAACCAUAACUCAUCUCCCCUGCGCGAUCCCAGUGGCAUCUCUCGGCUUAUCCAAAUUCCCUUCAUUUUCACAGAGAAAGUAGCGGAUUUGAGAUUUGGUUUCAGUUGAGGAGCACUUAUUUUAGCUGUCAUUUUGGGAGUAUUUAUUUUAAUCCCAUGAGACCGUGAAUCUGAUUAUUCGAAAACGGAUCACUCAAUUGUUAACUCUAAAAAUAAUUGACACUAAAUAUAAGGCAUCCAAAAUAUAGUAAGACUAAAGUCUUUGCAUAAUAAGGGAACUAAUUGCUGGAUAACCACUAAGAACAAGGUUCUGAGUGUUGAAUCUGAUCAGAAGAGAACAAACUAAAGAACUUAGUCAUGGCACCAUUGCAGCAACAAGAUAUUCAGCAUGCGAAACUAUUGGAGGUCGCUGUCGGUACU